Molecule: long non-coding RNA, 1652 nt
Organism: Oncorhynchus keta (chum salmon)
Lineage: Eukaryota; Metazoa; Chordata; Actinopteri; Salmoniformes; Salmonidae
Exons: 6
Source: RefSeq, a predicted model, not a curated record
UGUAUGUAUUUUUGGUGAUAAAACGGAUGGCACUGUGAUAGACUACAUCCAGUUUGUUGACUAGAGUGUUGAUGGAGAAUGAUGGAGGCGACUGUGUUCUUGGGGACCUUCAAUUCUACAUAAAUGUUUUUGGUACCCUUCCCCAGAUCUGUGCCUCGACACGAUCCUGCUCGGAGCUCUAAGGACAAUUUCUUCAACCUCAUGGCUUGGUUUUUGCUCUGACAUGCACUGUCAAUUGUGGGACCUUAUAUAGACAAGUGUGUUCCUUUACAAAUCAUGUCCAAUCAAUUGAAUUUACCACAGGUUGGACUCCAAUAAAGUUGAAGAAACAUCUCAAGAAUGAUCAAUGGAAACAGGAAGCACCUGAGCUCAAUUUUUAGUCUUAUAGCAAAGGGUCUGAAUACUUAUGUAAAUAAGGUAUUUCUGUAUAAAACAUUUAUACUUUUGCAAACAUUUCGAACAACCUGUUUAUGCUUUGUAAUUAUGAGGUAUUGUGUGUAGAUUGAUAAGAAAAAAUGCAUAUUUAAUCAAUUUUAGAAUAAGGCCACAAAAUGUGGAAAGAGUCAAUGGUUUGGAAUCCCUCCAGAAUGCACUGCAUAUUCUACUGUGGCAGGUUCUAGUAGGGUUGUGUUAUAUAUAUAUAUAUAUUAUACUGAGGUAGGGUCUGGUAGGGUUAUAUUAUAUAUAUAUAUUAUACUGAGGUAGGGUCUGGUAGGGUUAUGUUAUAUAUAUAUUAUACUGAGGUAGGGUCUGGUAGGGUUAUAUUAUAUAUAUAUAUUAUGCUGAGGUAGGGUCUGGUAGGGUUAUAUUAUAUAUAUAUUAUGCUGAGGUAGGGUCUGGUAGGGUUAUAUUAUAUAUAUAUUAUGCUGAGGUAGGGUCUGGUAGGGUUAUAUUAUAUAUAUAUUAUGCUGAGGUAGGGUUAUAUUAUAUAUAUAUAUUAUGCUGAGGUAGGGUCUGGUAGGGUUAUAUUAUAUAUAUAUUAUGCUGAGGUAGGGUCUGGUAGGGUUAUAUUAUAUAUAUAUUAUGCUGAGGUAGGGUCUGGUAGGGUUAUAUUAUAUAUAUAUUAUGCUGAGGUAGGGUCUGGUAGGGUUAUAUUAUAUAUAUAUUAUGCUGAGGUAGGGUCUGGUAGGGUUAUAUUAUAUAUAUAUUAUGCUGAGGUAGGGUCUGGUAGGGUUAUAUUAUAUAUAUAUUAUGCUGAGGUAGGGUCUGGUAGGGUUAUAUUAUAUAUAUAUUAUGCUGAGGUAGGGUCUGGUAGGGUUAUAUUAUAUAUAUAUUAUGCUGAGGUAGGGUCUGGGAGGGUUAUAUUAUAUAUAUAUUAUGCUGAGGUAGGGUCUGGUAGGGUUAUAUUAUAUAUAUAUUAUGCUGAGGUAGGGUCUGGUAGGGUUAUAUUAUAUAUAUAUUAUGCUGAGGUAGGGUCUGGUAGGGUUAUAUUAUAUAUAUAUUAUGCUGAGGUAGGGUCUGGUAGGGUUAUAUUAUAUAUAUAUUAUGCUGAGGUAGGGUCUGGGAGGGUUAUAUUAUAUAUAUAUUAUGCUGAGGUAGGGUCUGGUAGGGUUAUAUUAUAUAUAUAUUAUGCUGAGGUAGGGUCUGGGAGGGUUAUAUUAUAUAUAUAUAUUAUGCUGAGGUAGGGUCUGGUAGGGUUAUAUUAUAUAUAU